RNAcentral lists this ribosomal RNA (440 nucleotides) under uncultured bacterium. RNAcentral describes it as "partial 16S ribosomal RNA". It matches the Rfam family "Bacterial small subunit ribosomal RNA", at positions 338 to 795 of the family's 1533-position model. The record is from RNAcentral.
CCUACGGGUGACAGCAGUGGGGGAUAUUGCACAAUGGGGGAAACCCUGAUGCAGCGACGCCGCGUGUGGGAAGACGGUCCUCUGGAUUGUAAACCACUGUCCCCAGGGACGAAGAUGACGGUACCUGGGGAGGACGCUCCGGCUAACUACGUGCCAGCAGCCGCGGUAAUACGUAGGGAGCAAGCGUUGUCCGGACUUACUGGGGGAAAAGGGAGCGUAGGCGGGAUGGCAAGUUGGGUGUUAAAUCUACCGGCUCAACUGGUAGUCGCACUCAAAACUGGUAUUCUGGAGUGAUGUAGAGGCAGGCGGAAUUCCUGGUGUAGCGGUGAAAUGCGUAGAUAUUAGGAGGAACACCAGUGGCGAAGGCGGCCUGCUGGGCAUUGACUGACGCUGAGGCUCGAAAGUGUGGGGAGCAAACAGGAUUAGAUACCCCAGUAGUC